UAUUGGUCAAUAGCUUAACGGCUGAACCAGCAACUUGGAGGAAUGAAUAGGGAAAACUGGUAAAAGGUGAUGUACCUAGUAGUAUAAGAAAUUAAUAUGAGAUUAACUAAGUUAACUAAAAUUCUAAGCAGAUAUUUGAUUAUGACACUAUCUGUAUAGGUCUUGACCAAGUCACGUGCCAGCAGUCGCGGUAAUACGUGGAAGACAAGUGUUAUUCAUCUUUAAUGGGUUUAAAGGGUACCUAGACGGUUAAUUAAGCAAUUAAAUGUACUAAUUAACUAGAGUUUAAUGUAAGAAAGAUGAGUACUGUUAGAGUAGAGAUAAAAUUCUAGGAUACUAUCAGGAACUGGUAAGAGCGAAGGCUACUUUCAAUGUAAAAACUGACGUUAAAGGACGAAG
Molecule: ribosomal RNA, 399 nt
Filed under: Ocellularia sp. Gueidan 3304G
Lineage: Eukaryota; Fungi; Ascomycota; Lecanoromycetes; Ostropales; Graphidaceae
Description: SSU rRNA
Rfam family: Bacterial small subunit ribosomal RNA
Source: RNAcentral